CCUACGGGCGGCUGCAGUGGGGAAUUUUGGACAAUGGGGGCAACCCUGAUCCAGCCAUGCCGCGUGCGGGAAGAAGGCCUUCGGGUUGUAAACCGCUUUUGUCAGGGAAGAAAUCUUCCGAGCUAAUACCUUGGGAGGAUGAUGGUACCUGAAGAAUAAGCACCGGCUAACUACGUGCCAGCAGCCGGGGUAAAACGUAGGGUGCAAGCUUUAAUCGGAGUGACUGGGGGCGGUGGUGGAGGAGGCGUGUGAAAGCCCCGGGCUUAACCUGGGAACUGCACUUGUGACUGUACGGCUGGAGUACGGCAGAGGGGGAUGGAAUUCCGCGUGUAGCAGUGAAAUGCGUAGAUAUGCGGAGGAACACCGAUGGCGAAGGCAGUCCCCUGGGCCUGUACUGACGCUCAUGCACGAAAGCGUGGGGAGCAAACAGGAUUAGAUACCCUAGUAGUC
RNAcentral lists this ribosomal RNA (450 nucleotides) under uncultured bacterium. RNAcentral describes it as "partial 16S ribosomal RNA". It matches the Rfam family "Bacterial small subunit ribosomal RNA", at positions 338 to 795 of the family's 1533-position model. The record is from RNAcentral.